This 67-nucleotide transfer RNA is filed under the name Marmota monax (woodchuck). Its description in RNAcentral is "tRNA.Ala". Lineage: Eukaryota; Metazoa; Chordata; Mammalia; Rodentia; Sciuridae. The record is from RNAcentral.
GGUUGUGGCUCAGCGGUAGAGUGUUUGCAUGGCAAGUGUGAGGCCCUGGGUUCAAUCUUCAGCACCA